CUUAUGGAUAAUGCUCCUGCUCACCCUCCAGGAUUUGGGGAAGAAUUAAUGGAGGAGUUCAGUUUUAUUGCUGUGAAGUAUCUAGCCCAUGGACCAGCAAGUCAUUUCAAACUUCAAGAAGCGUUACACCAAAGCACUGUUCCAAAGGUGAUUUGAAGUAACCUCAGUCACAGAGCUAACCCUUAGAGAGUUCUGGAAAAAUCAUUU
Pelobates cultripes (western spadefoot toad) is the source of this 207-nucleotide non-coding RNA. The record is from the annotation of a GenBank genome assembly. Lineage: Eukaryota; Metazoa; Chordata; Amphibia; Anura; Pelobatidae.